Molecule: ribosomal RNA, 435 nt
Filed under: uncultured bacterium
Lineage: Bacteria
Description: partial 16S ribosomal RNA
Rfam family: Bacterial small subunit ribosomal RNA
Source: RNAcentral
AGCGAACGCUGGCGGCAGGCUUAACACAUGCAAGUCGAACAGGCAUCUUCGGAUGUCAGUGGCAGACGGGUGAGUAACACGUGGGAACGUACCCUUCGGUUCGGAAUAACUCAGGGAAACUUGAGCUAAUACCGGAUACGCCCUUUUGGGGAAAGGUUUACUGCCGAAGGAUCGGCCCGCGUCUGAUUAGCUUGUUGGUGGGGUAACGGCCUACCAAGGCGACGAUCAGUAGCUGGUCUGAGAGGAUGAUCAGCCACACUGGGACUGAGACACGGCCCAGACUCCUACGGGAGGCAGCAGUGGGGAAUAUUGGACAAUGGGCGCAAGCCUGAUCCAGCCAUGCCGCGUGAGUGAUGAAGGCCUUAGGGUUGUAAAGCUCUUUUGUCCGGGACGAUAAUGACGGUACCGGAAGAAUAAGCCCCGGCUAACUUCGUG